CUACGGGAGGCUCCAGUGAGGAAUAUUGCGCAAUGGGGGAAACUCUGAUGCAGCAACGCCGCGUGGAGGAUGACACUUUUCGGAGCGUAAACUCCUUUUAUAUAGGAAGAAGAUGACGGUACUAUAUGAAUAAGCGCCGGCUAACUCCGUGCCAGCAGCCGCGGUAAUACGGAGGGCGCAAGCGUUACUCGGAAUCACUGGGCGUAAAGAGCGUGUAGGCGGAUUAAAAAGUCAGAAGUGAAAUCCUAUAGCUUAACUAUAGAACUGCUUCUGAAACUCUUAAUCUAGAAUAUGGGAGAGGUAGAUGGAAUUUCUGGUGUAGGGGUAAAAUCCGUAGAGAUCAGAAGGAAUACCGAUUGCGAAGGCGAUCUACUAGAACAUUAUUGACGCUGAGACGCGAAAGCGUGGGGAGCAAACAGGAUUAGAUACCCGUGUAGUC
RNAcentral lists this ribosomal RNA (439 nucleotides) under uncultured bacterium. RNAcentral describes it as "partial 16S ribosomal RNA". It matches the Rfam family "Bacterial small subunit ribosomal RNA", at positions 339 to 795 of the family's 1533-position model. The record is from RNAcentral.